Long non-coding RNA from Cucumis melo (muskmelon), 291 nucleotides. RefSeq lists it as uncharacterized. Lineage: Eukaryota; Viridiplantae; Streptophyta; Magnoliopsida; Cucurbitales; Cucurbitaceae. The transcript has 4 exons. The record is from RefSeq and is a predicted model, not a curated record.
GCUGCAUCCAAAGGAUUAAAGCUUGGCGGUUGCGGUGGCAAACGUUGAUCUCUCUAUGCUUAAUGAUUUUCAAGCACAAGGUUGUGUGGUAGAUAUCAGCUUUUGACUCAUUUCUUAAGUACUCCUUGGCACACAUUGUUUCCUUCUGCAGUUGAUCUCUUGCUGCAACUCUUUCUUCAUAUGUUGUCUGCAAUAGAAGAAGUUUUGCUAGAAUCCAUUGGAGCAACGAAGCCAUAUUUGCGACAAUUUAUUGAUGUAUAGGCAUUUUUGUGGGUUUGGUAAGAAAAUUUC